GGUUGGUCCAAGUACAGUGGUGUUUACAACAAAUUGAUCACAACCAGUUACAGAUUCCUUUGUUCCUUCUCCACUCCCACUGCUUCACUUGACCAGACUUAA
RNAcentral lists this Y RNA (102 nucleotides) under Prolemur simus (greater bamboo lemur). RNAcentral describes it as "Y RNA (ENSPSMG00000009227.1)". It matches the Rfam family "Y RNA". From Rfam's summary of the family: Y RNAs are components of the Ro ribonucleoprotein particle (Ro RNP), in association with Ro60 and La proteins. The Y RNAs and Ro60 and La proteins are well conserved, but the function of the Ro RNP is not known. In humans the RNA component can be one of four small RNAs -- hY1, hY3, hY4 and hY5. Lineage: Eukaryota; Metazoa; Chordata; Mammalia; Primates; Lemuridae. The record is from Rfam by way of RNAcentral.